RNAcentral lists this ribosomal RNA (582 nucleotides) under Saccharata kirstenboschensis. RNAcentral's name for it is "eukaryotic LSU rRNA". The stretch from base 212 to 365 matches the Rfam family "5.8S ribosomal RNA". Lineage: Eukaryota; Fungi; Ascomycota; Dothideomycetes; Botryosphaeriales; Saccharataceae. The record is from RNAcentral.
AACAAGGUUUCCGUAGGUGAACCUGCGGAAGGAUCAUUAACGAGUUCUGGGUCCUUCGGGGCCCGUCCUCCAACCCUUUGUCUACAAACCACGUUGCUUCGGCGGGCAGCCGGGGUCCGCCUCGCGCGGUUCCGGGUCACUGCCCGCCGGAGGAUUACCACAAACCCUUGCUUUAAAACAAUGCAGUCUGACCGAAUAUCAAAUAUUCUAAAACUUUCAACAACGGAUCUCUUGGUUCUGGCAUCGAUGAAGAACGCAGCGAAAUGCGAUAAGUAAUGUGAAUUGCAGAAUUCAGUGAAUCAUCGAAUCUUUGAACGCACAUUGCGCCCCUUGGUAUUCCGAGGGGCAUGCCUGUUCGAGCGUCAUUACACCCCUCAAGCACUGCUUGGUAUUGGGCCCCGUCCUCACCGGGCGGGCCUUAAAGACCUCGGCGGCGGCGCCGUAGCCUCAAGCGUAGUAAUUCUUUCUCGCUUUGGAGGCCGCGGCGUCUCCCGCCGGACGAACCUUUUUACUUUCUAUCAAGGUUGACCUCGGAUCAGGUAGGGAUACCCGCUGAACUUAAGCAUAUCAAUAAGCGGAGGA